CCUACGGGGAGCAGCAGUUGGGAAUAUUGCACAAUGGGGGAAACCCUGAUGCAGCGACGCCGCGUGAGUGAAGAAGUAUUUCGGUAUGUAAACCUCUAUCAGCAGGGAAGAAACCCACCCUCCGGGGUGGCUGACGGUACCUGACUAAGAAGCCCCGGCUAACUACGUGCCAGCAGCCGCGGUAAUACGUAGGGGGCAAGCGUUAUCCGGAUUUACUGGGUGUAAAGGGAGCGUAGGUGGCAAGGCAAGUCAGAUGUGAAAACCCGGGGCCCAACCCCGGGAGUGCAUUUGAAACUGUCUGGCUAGAGUGCAGGAGAGGUAAGUGGAAUUCCUAGUGUAGCGGUGAAAUGCAUAGAUAUUAGGAGGAACACCAGUGGCGAAGGCGGCUUACUGGACUGUAACUGACACUGAGGCUCGAAAGCGUGGGGAGCAAACAGGAUUAGAUACCCGUGUAGUC
RNAcentral lists this ribosomal RNA (457 nucleotides) under uncultured bacterium. RNAcentral describes it as "partial 16S ribosomal RNA". It matches the Rfam family "Bacterial small subunit ribosomal RNA", at positions 338 to 795 of the family's 1533-position model. The record is from RNAcentral.